Molecule: non-coding RNA, 255 nt
Organism: Maylandia zebra (zebra mbuna)
Lineage: Eukaryota; Metazoa; Chordata; Actinopteri; Cichliformes; Cichlidae
Source: RefSeq, a predicted model, not a curated record
ACAAUGAGGCGUACCAGAAGUCUCCCUGUUUAAUCCUUAAGCAUCCACCUGUGUUAUGCCAUGGAGAAGCUUUGUUUUUUCACAAGUUCUGGGAAAUCACUGUAAGUUGUACGUUGAUGAAGACAAACAAGUAAACAGCCCUCAACUUUACUUUCACGCCUGACUCAUCAUUCAACGCUUUCAGUGCUUACGGCAUAUGUUUAGCUAUCUGUCACUUCGUGUACCAGAACCACGCACGCAGGGGACAGAAUAGUG